Molecule: long non-coding RNA, 227 nt
Filed under: Homo sapiens (human)
Lineage: Eukaryota; Metazoa; Chordata; Mammalia; Primates; Hominidae
Description: HSALNT0016121
Source: RNAcentral
AGUAAUGGGUCUAAGAUAUGAUUAAAUAACACUGAAGUUAGGAAAAUAAUUGGGCCUAGGUCGACUCCACAAGAAGAGGAUGAAGGGCUUUGGUUAUUUUGAAAACUGCCCAACUUUUAGCUAGUAAGUGGUGGAGUGCAGACUAGAAACUACUUCCUGGGAAUCCUGAGUUACCACAGUUACGACAACAGUUUGCAGCCUGGCUACAUUAUACUGGCCUAGACCAC